GGCGGGGUAACGGCCCACCAAACCGACGAUGGAUAGGGGUUCUGAGAGGAAGGUCCCCCACAUUGGUACUGAGACACGGACCAAACUCAAACGGGAGGCAGCAGUGAGGAAUAUUGGUCAAUGGCCGAGAGGCUGAACCAGCCAAGUCGCGUGAGGGAUGAAGGUUUAUGGAUCGUAAACCUCUUUUAUAAGGGAAUAAGUGCGGGACGUGUCCCGUUUUGUAUGUACCUUAUGAAUAAGGAUCGGCUAACUCCGUGCCAGCAGCCGCGGUAAUACGGAGGAUCCGAGCGUUAUCCGGAUUUAUUGGGUUUAAAGGGUGCGUAGGCGGCCCCUUAAGUCAGCGGUGAAAGUCUGUGGCUCAACCAUAGAAUUGCCGUUGAAACUGGGAGGCUUGAGUAUGUUUGAGGCAGGUGGAAUGCGUGGUGUAGCGGUGAAAUGCAUAGAUAUCACGCAGAACCCCGAUUGCGAAGGCAGCCUGCCAAGCCAUUACUGACGCUGAUGCACGAAAGCGUGGGGAUCAAACAGGAUUAG
Molecule: ribosomal RNA, 531 nt
Filed under: uncultured bacterium
Lineage: Bacteria
Description: bacterial SSU rRNA
Rfam family: Bacterial small subunit ribosomal RNA
Source: RNAcentral